UACGAGUAUCUUAUAAGAUCAAAACGAAUUACUGCGACCUAUAUCUCGACUGACUAUUACCUUAUAAGCAUAUGAUAGUACCUGGUUUGCUCUAAACAAACCGGAGACACCAGAAGUUGUAACUAAUCAGAAUAAAACACUUAUAUACAAUUAUGGCCCGCUGAGGAGGUGAAUAUCCAAAAUGGUCAACCCGAGUAAAGGUUAUUCUAUGAGGGCUUCAGCAUAGAAAUUCAACUAUGACACGUGAUUCAGUAUUAGCCAGUCAAUUAAUUACUAUGUAAUGCAAGGUUAACAAUAAAUGACGGUGCAUACUGCUACCAUUCAUAAACAAUGAACUGAACAAGACUAGGUCAUCUGAAUAAAGAUCUGAACCGAUGUCAAAGCAACAGGUGACAAACGAAACUUCCCUGCAAUCUACAGAACAUGGAUAAAGAAGAGGAGGCAGCAUUCAUAAUUAUAAAUAAUUCUUAUAUGAUUUGCAUAUUAGGGAAUACGUUGAUAUGAUUGGUGGAGAGGACUUCUGGAAGAUGUUUCGGACUUUUAUUUGUUUGUUAGGGAAUUGGUUGAGUUUAUACACCAACAAAUUCAUUUAAAAGGCGUUUAAUCAUAAAAUAUCAAAUUUUCAUAAUAAAGGGUGUUAUAGGUUCAAAAGCGUUUAACUAUUUUUACUUUAAAAUUUCCUCAUUAAGUUUUGCUUAUCGACAUGUAUUAUCUGUAUUUGAUCGAGUGUUGACAGAUUCAAAAGUAAUGAUAGUUUUCUUUUCUUAUUUGUUCUUUUUGAAGAAAUGCAAACUUCGUCAAUUAACAAUAAUUUAAAAUAAGAUUGAAAAAUACCAAAGAAAAACUCAAAAAGACACCUUGACGGAUUGAAAGACAAAAUACAUU
This 885-nucleotide long non-coding RNA is filed under the name Mytilus galloprovincialis (Mediterranean mussel). Lineage: Eukaryota; Metazoa; Mollusca; Bivalvia; Mytilida; Mytilidae. The record is from RNAcentral.